GAACGCACCUUGCACUCUUUGGUAUUCCGAAGAGUAUGUCUGUUUGAGUGUCAUGAAACUCUCAACCCCCCUAUUUUGUAACGAGAUAGGUGUGGGCUUGGAUUAUGGUUGUCUGCUGGCGUCAAGUCAGCUCAACUGAAAUAUACGAGCAACCCAUUUGAAAUAAACGGUUUGACUCGGCGUAAUAAUUAUUUCGCUGAGGACGUUUUCUUUAAAGUUAGUGGUGCUUCUAAUGCGUUAUAAUACAUCAUAAGCUUUAGACCUCAAAUCAGUCAGGACUACCCGCUGAACUUAAG
RNAcentral lists this unclassified non-coding RNA (296 nucleotides) under uncultured fungus. RNAcentral's name for it is "sequence contains 5.8S rRNA gene". The stretch from base 1 to 53 matches the Rfam family "5.8S ribosomal RNA", at positions 102 to 154 of the family's 154-position model. The record is from RNAcentral. Lineage: Eukaryota; Fungi.